RNAcentral lists this ribosomal RNA (646 nucleotides) under uncultured Bacillus sp. RNAcentral describes it as "bacterial SSU rRNA". It matches the Rfam family "Bacterial small subunit ribosomal RNA", at positions 349 to 995 of the family's 1533-position model. The record is from RNAcentral. Lineage: Bacteria; Bacillati; Bacillota; Bacilli; Caryophanales; Bacillaceae.
CAGCAGUAGGGAAUCUUCCGCAAUGGACGAAAGUCUGACGGAGCAACGCCCGUGAGUGAUGAAGGUUUUCGGAUCGUAAACUCUGUUGUUAGGGAAGAACAAGUACGAGAGUAACUGCUCGUACCUUGACGGUACCUAACCAGAAAGCCACGGCUAACUACGUGCCAGCAGCCGCGGUAAUACGUAGGUGCAAGCGUUGUCCGGAAUUAUUGGGCGUAAAGCGCGCGCAGGCGGUCCUUUAAGUCUGAUGUGAAAGCCCACGGCUCAACCGUGGAGGGUCAUUGGAAACUGGGGGACUUGAGUGCAGAAGAGAAGAGUGGAAUUCCACGUGUAGCGGUGAAAUGCGUAGAGAUGUGGAGGAACACCAGUGGCGAAGGCGACUCUUUGGUCUGUAACUGACGCUAGGCGCGAAAGCGUGGGGAGCAAACAGGAUUAGAUACCCUGGUAGUCCACGCCGUAACGAUUAGUGCUAAGUGUUAGAGGGUUUCCGCCCUUUAGUGCUGCAGCAACGCUUGCACUCCGCCUGGGGAGUACGGCCGCAGGGCUUAAACUCAAAAGGAAUUCGACGGGGCCCGCACAAGCGGUGGAGCAUUGUGGUUUAAUUUCGAAGCAACGCGAAGAACCUUACAGUCUGACUUCUCCUGAA